This is a non-coding RNA of Aegilops tauschii subsp. strangulata, 2239 nucleotides long. The record is from RefSeq and is a predicted model, not a curated record. Lineage: Eukaryota; Viridiplantae; Streptophyta; Magnoliopsida; Poales; Poaceae.
AAAAAAACACUCAACGCCCGACCCAGAUCCCCAAUAUCCCAUCUCCGCUCCCACCUCCUCUCCUCCUCUCCCAAGUCCCAACCCGCCAUGGAGGGGGCCCGCCCCCCAGCGCCGCCGCCGCCUCCGGCUCUGGCGGCGGCGGGGAGAAGGGCGCCCUGUGCCAGGAGUGCGGGGAGCAGCCGUGGAAUUACCGGUGCCCGGGCUGCUCCCGCCUCACCUGCAGCCUCCCCUGCGUGCAGGCCCACAAGCGCCGCACCGCCUGCUCCGGCAAGCGCCCCCGCACCGUCCCCGUCGCGCUCGCCCAGUUCGACGGCAACCAGCUCCUCUCCGAUUACAACUUGCUGGAGGAGACGAGCCAGGUCAGGGAGUCGGCCCACAGGCUGCUCGACGGCUUCGGCUGCGGCUUCGAGGGACGCCAUGGCGCCCAGCUGCUGCCGUGGCUCUCCUUCCUCGGCAAGGCCGCGGAGCGCCGGGGCGUCCGACUCGCCGUCCAAACCUGAAUUUUCCAUGGACCAUGUUGCUUGUUUCUACCGGGAUAAGUGCGAGGCAUACAUUCCUGCCGGUGUCGGCGGCUCGAUCAGGUCGGGGGGCAUCGGUCGCCGAGGCCGAGAAGACCGGGCUGUCGUUGGAUAGCUUCAAGACAACCGUUGUCAAACGCGACGACAAAAACAUCCAUGUGAGAUUGUUUGUGAACUCUGCCAAGCCAUGUUAAAUUAAAGCUGUCAACUCAGGAAAAAAAAAUUGGGUCCUGGUGAUAUAUAAGGAAGUCAAUUAAAAUAUUUUUCAUUGACCAUUUGUAGUAGUAUAGAUUUCUUAAAGGAUUAAACAAAAAUCUCCUAUGUCUAGAACUAGAAGACAUCUUAGAAAGUUAGGAUACAGAGCUAGAAGGAUGCACAACUUCAGGAAAGAACAAUUAUUAUAUUUUAAGGUUGUAAAGGUUGUAUGUUGUGUUUGCUAAGACUAAAGAUUGUAAAUUCAUCAUCGUACCAAUGUCGUUCUCUUUGCAGAUGAUUCUAGAAACUAUAUUAUGCUAGGAGUGCCUUACUGCAGCAACUAGCAGCAAGGCCAGCCACUGGUUAAACUGGAAAGUUGUACUGACUUUCAGCAAGAUCAUGCGAUGAUCUUAGUAUGCUUCUGCUGCCAAGUAAGAAAUACAGUUUGUCAAAGUAUGGAUGUGGGCUAAAAUGGAACCCGGUGGACAGAUCGUUCCCAAGAAAAUCCGUUGAAUAUGUGAAUCUAGAAGUACUGCUGAUUGUAGAGAUUGAUUCUUUGAAUAUGUGAAUCUAGCGGACAGAUUGCCUCUCUGCCCGCUCGCUCGCCAGCGGCAGCAUCGCACACCAAGGUACGCGCCUCCCCCGUCGUCGUUCCUCUUCCGUUCGGGAACUCGCUGGUCGAUGUGCACGCACGGGACCAAUGUCUGAAGCAUAGUACAACUUUCCAGUUCAACGAUGGUGGCGAGCCGGUUAAAUUUGCAAAUCUAAGUUUAUUUGUGCUUGAAAUUCCUGCCUGUUGAGGGCAUAGCUUUUGGACGAUUAGUUACCAUGGGUUGCACUACGAUUUGUGAAUUAUUAAUGCUGACGAAACGGCGAGUGAUUGAUUCUACUGAUGCAUCUCUUUAUGGCAGAAAAGCUCAACACUCUCAAGGACCAGCUUAGGGGACUGGAGGCAGGUCCGGCAGAAGCUCUGUCCAGUAAGCAUUUCUUCACCCUUGGGCAACUUUGCACAAAUGGAUUGUGUAUUACACUCCAAGCGAAUUGGGCAGCUUAGGGGACUGGAGGCAGUGAAAAAUCUUGCACCUUGACCGACAGAAUUAAGAGGGACUAGAAUGGGGAAGGACCUCUGUUGUAUCAGCUAACAGUAACACAUCAGCAGUACCUAAUGAUGGCAAUGGAUAAAAUCUACUCCGGAGAGUUGACAGAGGGAGCACAUGCUAAGUUGACUUUUUCCUACGGAUUUGCUUAUCGUGAAGAUGCUUGCAAGGAUGCAGAGGGAGCGGAUCAUUUGGAGAGAUGCCACUGUUUGGUGUUUUUAUGCAUUUUGGUUUGCUUGUAACUGUGUUUGCACUAGCUGGGAGUAAGUGACUUGGCAAGAAGUGUAGGUGUUUUAAUUGAAGGCCUGAAAACCAUGACAAUUAUGUAUGCUCUUACAGGAUGUGCUCUAAUGCCGCUGGUUUAUUAUAAAUCUAGGAUUAGUAAUGAUGUGUACUGCUGCUGGUUUAUUGCAAAUAUGUGUUUGUUUA